AUACAUGACUAAGUAGAAAAGGGUUUC
This 27-nucleotide non-coding RNA is filed under the name Rattus norvegicus (Norway rat). The record is from RNAcentral. Lineage: Eukaryota; Metazoa; Chordata; Mammalia; Rodentia; Muridae.